Molecule: transfer RNA, 72 nt
Filed under: Brotogeris cyanoptera
Lineage: Eukaryota; Metazoa; Chordata; Aves; Psittaciformes; Psittacidae
Description: tRNA-Phe
Source: RNAcentral
GUCCUCGUAGCUUAGAUCUUGAAAGCACGGUACUGAAGACACCGAGACGGACCCCAACCACUUCCCGAGGAC